UAACUGUUUGAAUGAGGAGACUGUGGUUC
Molecule: non-coding RNA, 29 nt
Filed under: Callithrix jacchus (white-tufted-ear marmoset)
Lineage: Eukaryota; Metazoa; Chordata; Mammalia; Primates; Cebidae
Also listed under: 1 other name
Source: RNAcentral